Non-coding RNA from Oryza glaberrima (African rice), 195 nucleotides. NCBI's taxonomy places the organism in Eukaryota, Viridiplantae, Streptophyta, Magnoliopsida, Poales, Poaceae. The record is from Rfam.
AAUAAGUGUAGUUUUACACUGUUUAUUCCGACGUUUGGCCGUUCGUCUUAUUUAAAAAUUUUUAUGAUUAAUAUUUUUACUGUCAUUAGAUGAUAAAAUAUGAAUAGUACUCUAUUUUUUUCAAUUUUUUCAUAAAUUUAUUAAAUAAGACGGAUGCUUAAAUGUUGGACACGGAUAUCUACUGCUGCAAUUAUU